UACAGAGGGUGCGAGCGUUGUCCGGAAUCACUGGGCGUAAAGGGCGCGUAGGCGGCUUGAUAAGCGUGCGGUGAAAGCCCGGGGCUCAACCCCGGGUCGGCCGUGCGAACUGUCGAGCUGGAGCACUGUAGAGGCAGGUGGAAUUCCGGGUGUAGCGGUGGAAUGCGUAGAGAUCCGGAAGAACACCGGUGGCGAAGGCGGCCUGCUGGGCAGUGGCUG
RNAcentral lists this ribosomal RNA (219 nucleotides) under uncultured bacterium. Its description in RNAcentral is "partial 16S ribosomal RNA". It matches the Rfam family "Bacterial small subunit ribosomal RNA", at positions 524 to 742 of the family's 1533-position model. The record is from RNAcentral.